Oncorhynchus keta (chum salmon) is the source of this 666-nucleotide long non-coding RNA. RefSeq lists it as uncharacterized. The record is from RefSeq and is a predicted model, not a curated record. The transcript has 4 exons. Lineage: Eukaryota; Metazoa; Chordata; Actinopteri; Salmoniformes; Salmonidae.
AGCUGUGCAACAAUGCUCCCCAUCCAACCUGACAGAGCUUGAGAGGAUCUGCAGAGAAGAAUGGGAGAAACUCACCAAAUACAGGUGUGCCAAGCUUGUAGCUUCUUACCCAAGAAGACUUGAGGAUGUAAUCGCUGCCAAAGGUGCUUCAACAAAGUACUGAGUAAAGGGUCUGAAUACUUAUGUAAAUGGUGUAUUGUGUGUUGAUUGAUGAGAAAAAAAAGUAUAAUUAUAUCAAUUUUUUAAUAAGGCUGUAACAUAACAAAAUGUGGAAAAAGUCAAGGGGUCUGAAUUAUUUCCGAAUGCACUGUAGACGUUCACACACUUGUUUGAGGAAGUUACGUCAUGUCAUCACACCCACCAGUGUGGAGACCCUACUCUAGCUCUUAUUACCAUCUUUUAUGCCUAAGUUGGUUUUAGGUGGUUUGAAACAACCAAUUGAUAUACUAUAAGGUCUGUAAGUCAAGUAAUAAACUAGUGUGGGAGGAAACACGAGCUGUCAGUUCACAUCUCUGUUCCCUUCCCUGUAGGUAGUGUACUUCACAUCUCUGUUCCCUUCCCUGUAGGUAGUGUACUUCACAUCUCUGUUCCCUUCCCUGUAGGUAGUGUACUUCACAUCUCUGUUCCCUUCCCUGUAGGUAGUGUACUUCACAUCUCUGUUUCCUU